AAGCUGCGAAGAUGGCGGAGUAAGGCGUGCCGCUGCAAACUGGCCUCUGGGCCGGGGGCGAGCAGCCCCCGGGAGGCCGAGUGCAUCUGUUGGACCGUGCGAGGAGAAGAAAAAAAAUAUCGGCCAGAGGAGAGGAACUAACCGAACAUUCUUCCUCCCUACCUUAUAGAGGGGAGUGGUCAUCUACACUAAAGCAAAGUGUUAGGCGCGUCCGUGCGAAGAGACCACCAAACAGGCUUUGUGUUCCUUAUCACAGGAAGAAAAUUUUCCUUGACCUUUAGGUGCUUUUAUAUUCAUCUCAAAAACAAAAUUCUGAACUCAGGACUUGGCAAGUAAGUAAUUGUGGGCUAAUCGUUCCAAAUACUGUUUAAGUAGCUUGAAAACAGGUACAUAGAAGUGGAACAAUAAGCCGUUAGCUUCAGCAGAAGACGAACAUGAAAAAUGACUGUAAGCUAUUGAAAUUUAAGUUAAAUCUUUUAUUUUUCAACAAAAGAAAUGUAUUAAAUAAAAAGGAGUAAUCUUGAUCAUUUGCUCAAACUACCAAUAAUUUUCACUGUCUAAAGAAAACAGACACAUAUUUAAUUAGAUUGAAGGAAAUCAAAUGAUUAAAAAAUAGGCCUGGCCCGGUGGCUCACGCCUGUAAUCCCAGCAGUUUGGGAGGCCGAGGUGGGCAGAUACUUGAGGUCAGGAGUUUGAGACCAGCCUGGGCAACAUGGGGGAACCCUAUCUCUACAAAAAAUACAAAAAUUAAGCAGGUGUGGUGGCACGCGCCUGUAAUCCCAGCUACUUGGGAGACUGAGGCAGGAGAAUUGCUUGAACUUGGGAGGCGGAGGCUGCAGCGAGCCGAGAUUGCGCCACUGCGCUCCAUCCUGGGCCACAGAGACAGACUCCAUCUCACCCAAAAAUAACGAUUAAAAAAAAAUGUUACUGGGUGGUUUUAUUUAAAUAAAUUUUGUGUAUAUUUCAGGUAUACAACAUGAUGUUUUGGGAUGCAUAUAGAUAGUAAAAAGGUUUCUACAGUGAAGUAAAUUAACAUCCAUUGUCUCACAUAGCUAUUUUGUUUUUGUGGCAACAGCUAAAAUCUCAUUUAGCAUGGAUCCUGUUUACAGUAUAAUUUUAUUACCUAUAGUUGUCAUGUUGUACAUUAGAUCGUUAGACUUGUUCAGCCUACGUACCUGUUCCUUUAUAUUCUCUGACCUAUAUCUCUUCCUUUACUAACUCCCACAUCACUGUUUUGUUCUCUAACUCUGUAUAUUUGAUUUUUUAAAAAAAUUUCACAUGUAAAUGAGAUUGUGCAAUGUUUUUCUUUCAGUCCUCCUGACUCAUCUAUGCUGUGACAAAUGGCAAAAUAUUUUGUUUUUUUUUUUUUUUGAGACAGUCUUGCUGUCUUAGCACUUGCUCUGUCACUGCACUCAGGCUGGAGUGCAGUGGUGCUAUCUCAGCUCACUGCAACCUCUGCCUCCCUAAUUCAAGCGAUUCUUUUGCCUCUGCCUCCCAAGUAGCCAGGAUUACAGGUGUGCGCCACCACGCCUGGUUAAUUUUUAUAUUUUUUUAGUAGAGACAGGAUUUCACCAUUUUGGCCAGGCUGGUCUCAAACUCUUGACUUAAUCCCAAAGUGCUGGGAUUACAGGCAUAUGCCACUGCGCCUGGCCAAGAUCUCAUUCUUUUUUAGGGCUGAGUAACAUAUGCCAUCAUAUAUAUGCACUGUAGUUUCUACAGUUUAUCCAUUCAUCCAUUGAUGAUGGACAGUUAGGUUUUUUCUGUAUCUUGGCUAUUGUGAAUAAUGUUCCACUGAACAUAGGAGUGCAGACAUCUUUAUGAAGUGAUUUCAUGUUUUUUGGUUAUAUGCCCAGAAGAGGGAGUGCUGGGUUAUGUGGUGGUUCCAUUUUUAAUUUCUUUAGAAACCUCCCAGCUGGGCGCGGUGGCUCAUGCCUGUAAUCCUGGCUACUCAGGAGGCUGUGGCAGGAGUAUCGCUUGAACCUGGGAGGCGGAGGUUGCCAUGAGCCAAGAUCGCGCCACUGCACUCCAGCCUGGGCUACAGAGUGAGAUUCCGUCUCAAAAAAAAAUUUCCAUACUGUUUUUCCAUAGUGGCUGUUCUGAUCUACACUCCCGCGAACAGUUAAUAAUAAUUCAUUCUUCUCUUAAACGAGGCAAAUUUUGGAAUAUAUUUAUUUAAUUUUUUUUUUGAGACAGAAGUUUUGCUCUUGUCGCCCAGGCUGGAGUGCAAUGGC
This 2231-nucleotide long non-coding RNA is filed under the name Homo sapiens (human). RNAcentral describes it as "non-protein coding OIP5-AS1:36". The record is from RNAcentral. Lineage: Eukaryota; Metazoa; Chordata; Mammalia; Primates; Hominidae.